GAUGAACGCUGGCGGCGUGCCUAAUACAUGCAAGUCGAACGAAACUUCUUUAUCACCGAGUGCUUGCACUCACCGAUAAAGAGUUGAGUGGCGAACGGGUGAGUAACACGUGGGCAACCUGCCCAAAAGAGGGGGAUAACACUUGGAAACAGGUGCUAAUACCGCAUAACCAUAGUUACCGCAUGGUAACUAUGUAAAAGGUGGCUAUACUACCGCUUUUGGAUGGGCCCGCGGCGCAUUAGCUAGUUGGUAGGGUAAAGGCUUACCAAGGCAAUGAUGCGUAGCCGAAUUGAGAGGUUGAUCGGCCACAUUGGAACUGAGACACGGCCCAAACUCCUACGGGAGGCAGCAGUAGGGAAUCUUCCACAAUGGGCGAAAGCCUGAUGGAGCAACGCCGCGUGGGUGAAGAAGGUCUUCGGAUCGUAAAACCCUGUUGUUAGAGAAGAAAGUGGGUGAGAGUAACUGUUCACGUUUCGACGGUAUCUAACCAGAAAGCCACGGCUAACUACGUG
RNAcentral lists this ribosomal RNA (512 nucleotides) under uncultured bacterium. RNAcentral describes it as "partial 16S ribosomal RNA". It matches the Rfam family "Bacterial small subunit ribosomal RNA", at positions 28 to 507 of the family's 1533-position model. The record is from RNAcentral.